RNAcentral lists this ribosomal RNA (525 nucleotides) under Triticum aestivum (bread wheat). Its description in RNAcentral is "partial small subunit ribosomal RNA". The record is from RNAcentral. Lineage: Eukaryota; Viridiplantae; Streptophyta; Magnoliopsida; Poales; Poaceae.
AUGUUGCAGUCUUGUUUUGGUCGCAACAAGCACCAAAACUUGGUUCGUCAGAUGUUUCAUAUUCGUCAGACUAGCACAGUCGAGGAAUAUGUGAAGCGUUUCUCUGAAUUGUACGACCAAUUGACAACAUAUGAGACGAACCCCAGCGCUGUUCACUAUGUCACAAGGUUCAUGGAGGGCUUGACGCCAUCAGUUCGUCUGCUAGUUGGGAUUCAGCAGCUCAUGGACCUUGACUCGGCAUAUGCACUUGCCUUACUGUCAGAAGAGUUGGGUGACUCGACCCUGUUACAGAAUAAUAGUUCAUCCUCUUACAAGCGAUCGGCGGCAUCAGUGACAGCCCGUUCCUUGACCAAAAUCACUGAUGACAAGAGGCCACCUGAACCUAUUCGAAGUUCUCCUGCUGUGGAGGAUAGAUGGUCUGCCCUGCAUGCAUAUAGGAAAUCUAAGGGGUUGUGUUUUGUGCGUGGUGAGAAAUGGGCCCGUGAACAUAAGUGCCAGCAACAAGUACAGUUACAUGUUGUGUAG